This is a long non-coding RNA of Raphanus sativus (radish), 590 nucleotides long. RefSeq lists it as uncharacterized. NCBI's taxonomy places the organism in Eukaryota, Viridiplantae, Streptophyta, Magnoliopsida, Brassicales, Brassicaceae. The record is from RefSeq and is a predicted model, not a curated record. The transcript has 3 exons.
CUUCUCGACGUCAAAGCUUCUUCUUCAUUUUCGAUCAACAUUUCAUCUCUGAUCUCUCUCUCCCUUCUGGGUUUCAUCAUCUCAGCCUCUUUCUCCGAUCUCAACGACGCCGUGGGUUUCAUCAUCUCAGCCUCUCUCUCCGAUCUCUCUCUUCGAUUUGAUUCUUAUCUCCUCAGAUUUGGGUUUCAAGCAUUGUUGAGCAUCUCAAAGCUCUCUUCUCCAAACGGGCCAAACCCAUCUCUUCCUUUUCUCAUCUGAGACGCAAACCUCGAGCUCUUUCAUCCGAUUUGGGUUAUCACGAGCUCUCUUAUCUCCUCUGAUUGAGGUGUUGGCGAAGAAGAAAAGUGUGGUGGGGAUGGUCUUGCAGGCUAUUGUUAGACAGUUACAAGCUGCAACCACGUCAUGAUAUCCCACUACAAGAAAAAUGGGUUUUGAUAGCAGUGGAGGAUAACGUUUUUUGCGUUUCUACUAUGGUUGAUAUACCCGUUAGUUUUAGAUAGCGUUUGUAUAUUUAGAAACGCUAUGAUAGAAUUGUAUAUUUAAAACCGCUAUAGUAGCAUAUUAUUAAUAGCACAUUAUUAAAAACGCUA